CUCAACAACGGUCAGUUGUCACUCCGUCUCCGCUCUCUGUGCCAGUGCUGAGCUGCUCCUGCUGCCUGGACUUCUCCUGCUUCCUGGACUUCUCCCACUGCCUGUCCUGAAGCACCAAGCCCAGCAGGAUGUGCACUCCUGUCGCGGGGAAGGCAACCGGAGACACUGUAGAGGACAUGGAAGUGGACAUGGUGCUGGAUAUGGAAGAAAUGAUGGAGGUGGACGUGGAAGAGUGUGUUGAGGACAUGGAGGUGGAUGUGGAGGACAGCAUCGAGGACAUGGAGGUGGAUGAGAAGGAUGAAGAGGAGCCCAUGAUCCUUGGAUGAAGAUGGAGCCUCCACAGAAGAACAGGUCGAUGCUCCCCAUGUCCUCCCCAAGGCGGAGUGGAUCCACCACCUGAACCACCCUGCUCUGCCUCUGCACCACGUCUGCCCCAUCACGGCGCCUGGAGCCUGGCUCCCAGCCCCAGCUGCGCUCAAGGCUAGCAGCAGAGUCCUGCCCUGCUGCUGCCUUUCUACCUGGAUGACCAUCCAGGACUCUCCUCCAGACACCAUGGCCACGGAUAUGUCCCCUUUGUACAUACGUUUUUUCAUGUUAGUUAUUUGCUGUAAAUAUGUUUUGAAGAUCGUUAGUUUAUAGGCCCCAUGUAAAUACGUUCUAUAGAUUGUUGUUGUUAUAGGGUUUCUUAUAAUGAAAAGUGUUCUCUAAAGCCUAGGAUCUGCUGAUCUUAGGUAAAUAAAUGCUAUUUAUUUUUAAAAGCA
Molecule: long non-coding RNA, 761 nt
Organism: Cyanistes caeruleus (blue tit)
Lineage: Eukaryota; Metazoa; Chordata; Aves; Passeriformes; Paridae
Source: RefSeq, a predicted model, not a curated record